This 119-nucleotide ribosomal RNA is filed under the name Manacus vitellinus (golden-collared manakin). Lineage: Eukaryota; Metazoa; Chordata; Aves; Passeriformes; Pipridae. The record is from RNAcentral.
ACUGCAGGGUUUUUAUGCUAUGGAUUUUCAUCUCUUGUCGACCUCUCAUAAACUAAGCAGGGUCAAGCACUGGUCAGUACUUGGCUGGGGGAUCUCAAGGGAAAACAAAAUCCACAGUA